RNAcentral lists this ribosomal RNA (253 nucleotides) under uncultured bacterium. Its description in RNAcentral is "partial 16S ribosomal RNA". It matches the Rfam family "Bacterial small subunit ribosomal RNA", at positions 524 to 776 of the family's 1533-position model. The record is from RNAcentral.
UACGUAGGUGACAAGCGUUGUCCGGAUUUACUGGGCGUAAAGAGCGCGCAGGCGGUCGAUCAAGUCGAGUGUGAAAGCCCCCGGCUCAACUGGGGAGGGUCAUUCGAUACUGAUCGACUCGAAGGCAGGAGAGGGUAGUGGAAUUCCCGGUGUAGUGGUGAAAUGCGUAGAUAUCGGGAGGAACACCUGAGGCGAAGGCGGGCUACUGGGCCGAUACUGACGCUGAUGCGCGAAAGCCAGGGGAGCGAACGGG